RNAcentral lists this transfer RNA (74 nucleotides) under Limnochorda pilosa. It matches the Rfam family "tRNA". Rfam says of the family: Transfer RNA (tRNA) molecules are approximately 80 nucleotides in length. Lineage: Bacteria; Bacillati; Bacillota; Limnochordia; Limnochordales; Limnochordaceae. The record is from Rfam by way of RNAcentral.
GCGGGGUUAGCUCAGCUGGUCAGAGCGCUACCCUUACAAGGUAGAAGUCGGGGGUUCGAGCCCCUCACCCCGCA